GACGAACGCUGGCGGCGUGCCUAAUACAUGCAAGUAGAACGCUGAAGGAGGAGCUUGCUUCUCUGGAUGAGUUGCGAACGGGUGAGUAACGCGUAGGUAACCUGCCUGGUAGCGGGGGAUAACUAUUGGAAACGAUAGCUAAUACCGCAUAAUAGUAGAUGUUGCAUGACAUUUGCUUAAAAGGUGCAAUUGCAUCACUACCAGAUGGACCUGCGUUGUAUUAGCUAGUUGGUGGGGUAACGGCUCACCAAGGCGACGAUACAUAGCCGACCUGAGAGGGUGAUCGGCCAAACUGGGACUGAGACACGGCCCAGACUCCUACGGGAGGCAGCAGUAGGGAAUCUUCGGCAAUGGACGGAAGUCUGACCGAGCAACGCCGCGGGAGUGAAGAAGGUUUUCGGAUCGUAAAGCUCUGUUGUAAGAGAAGAACGAGUGUGAGAGUGGAAAGUUCACACUGUGACGGUAUCUUACCAGAAAGGGACGGCUAACUACGUG
This 495-nucleotide ribosomal RNA is filed under the name uncultured bacterium. RNAcentral's name for it is "partial 16S ribosomal RNA". It matches the Rfam family "Bacterial small subunit ribosomal RNA", at positions 28 to 507 of the family's 1533-position model. The record is from RNAcentral.